This 147-nucleotide small nuclear RNA is filed under the name Chelydra serpentina (North American snapping turtle). Its description in RNAcentral is "U4 spliceosomal RNA (ENSCSRG00000002932.1)". It matches the Rfam family "U4 spliceosomal RNA", at positions 16 to 138 of the family's 138-position model. From Rfam's summary of the family: U4 small nuclear RNA (U4 snRNA) is a component of the major U2-dependent spliceosome. Lineage: Eukaryota; Metazoa; Chordata; Testudines; Chelydridae. The record is from Rfam by way of RNAcentral.
GUAUUAGUACAGUAUCGUAGCCAAUGAGGUUAAUCCGAGGCGCGAUUAUUGCUAAUUGAAAACUUUUCCUUUGCUCCAGUGUACACUGUAUUAAAUGAACAAUGACCAAGGCAAAAGUCUUGCAAUAAAUAGAAAUCUUCUAAAGGA